AGAAUCAACGCUGGCGGCGUGCCUCAGACAUGCAAGUCGAACGAUUAAAGCUCUCUUCGGAGAGUGUAUAGAGUGGCGCACGGGUGAGUAACACGUAAGUAAUCUACCCUCGAGUGGGGAAUAACGUCCGGAAACGGACGCUAAUACCGCAUAAUGCAGCGGCACCGCAAGGUGACAGUUGUUAAAGAUUUAUCGCUUGAGGAGGAGCUUGCGGCAGAUUAGCUAGUUGUAAGGUAAUGGCUACAAGGCUACGAUCUGUAACCGUACAAGAGGACGGUCGGUACACACUGACACUAGAAGUAACGGGUCAGUACUCCG
This 318-nucleotide ribosomal RNA is filed under the name uncultured soil bacterium. Its description in RNAcentral is "bacterial SSU rRNA". It matches the Rfam family "Bacterial small subunit ribosomal RNA", at positions 26 to 340 of the family's 1533-position model. The record is from RNAcentral.